UAUAAAAGAUCAUGAGACGCCACCAUGCGUUCUCUUUGCUGGACGAGCCUGAGAGUGUCAGGCACCUUUUGACCGACCAUGCCGGUUGCCAGAAGUUGGGUCUGUAGUAAGACCUAUGUCACCCCCCGCCGCCCCUUUGAGAAGUCCCGGCUUGACCAGGAGCUGAAACUCAUCGGGGAGUAUGGCCUUAGAAACAAGAGAGAGGUCUGGCGUGUGAAGUUCACUCUGGCCAAAAUCCGCAAGGCAGCUAGAGAACUACUCACCCUGGAUGAAAAGGAUCCCAAGCGACUAUUUGAAGGUAAUGCUCUCCUGAGGCGUCUGGUCCGGAUAGGUGUGCUGGAUGAGGGCAAGAUGAAGCUCGAUUAUAUCCUCGGCCUGAAAGUUGAGGACUUCUUGGAGCGGAGGCUGCAGACACAGGUCUUCAAGCUGGGCCUGGCUAAGAGUAUCCAUCAUGCCAGAGUGCUCAUCCGUCAAAGGCACAUCCGCCGUUUUGGUUCCACCUGAGCGCUUUAAAUUCAGCAAGGUCAAUUCGGUGACAAACCGUAUACCUUGUAAGACUGGUUGAUCCAAUCCUGUCAGUCGGGAUGAAGUCUUUACUCCCUAUUGGAGAUUUGGCAGUGUCCGCAAGCAGGUGGUGAAUAUCCCAUCUUUUGUUGUGCGCCUGGAUAGCCAGAAGCACAUUGACUUCUCACUGAGGUCUCCUUAUGGCGGUGGAAGACCCGGCCGCGUGAAGAGGAAGAACGCCAAGAAGGGCCAGGGUGGUGCUGGAGGCGCCGAUGAUGAAGAGGAAGAUUAAGCCUGAGAAUUUUCUGCAGUACUCCUGCAAACUUUUCAAUAAAAAAAUCUGGAAACCUGAAA
This is an RNA transcript of Brienomyrus brachyistius, 858 nucleotides long. It is a transcript of the gene named ribosomal protein S9, with no coding region annotated. The record is from RefSeq and is a predicted model, not a curated record. NCBI's taxonomy places the organism in Eukaryota, Metazoa, Chordata, Actinopteri, Osteoglossiformes, Mormyridae. The transcript is spliced from 6 exons.